CCCCGUGUGGCUCAGUUGGUAGAGCAUGGUGUUUGCAACGCCAGGGUUGUGGGUUCGAUUCCCACGGGGG
Molecule: non-coding RNA, 70 nt
Organism: Salmo salar (Atlantic salmon)
Lineage: Eukaryota; Metazoa; Chordata; Actinopteri; Salmoniformes; Salmonidae
Source: Rfam